This 389-nucleotide ribosomal RNA is filed under the name Haptolina sp. RNAcentral describes it as "partial small subunit ribosomal RNA". It matches the Rfam family "Eukaryotic small subunit ribosomal RNA", at positions 582 to 975 of the family's 1831-position model. The record is from RNAcentral. Lineage: Eukaryota; Haptophyta; Prymnesiales; Prymnesiaceae.
AUUCCAGCUCCAAUAGCGUAUAUUAAAGUUGUUGCAGUUAAAACGCUCGUAGUCGGAUUUCGGGGCCCGCCUGCCGGUCUGCCGAUGGGUAUGCACUAGCAGGCGCGUCCUUCCUUCCGGAGACUGUCCCUACUCUUAACUGAGCGGGGUCGGGAGACGGAUCGUUUACUUUGAAAAAAUCAGAGUGUUUCAAGCAGGCAGCUCGCUCUUGCAUGGAUUAGCAUGGGAUAAUGAAAUAGGACUUUGGUGCUAUUUUGUUGGUUUCGAACACCGAAGUAAUGAUUAACAGGGACAGUCAGGGGCACUCGUAUUCCGCCGAGAGAGGUGAAAUUCUCAGACCAGCGGAAGACGAACCACUGCGAAAGCAUUUGCCAGGGAUGUUUUCAUUA